UGAGGAAUAUUGGUCAAUGGGCGUGAGCCUCAACCAGCCAAGUAGCGUGCAGGAAGACGGCCCUAUGGGUUGUAAACUGCUUUAUGCGGGGAUAAAGGAGUCCACGUGUGGAUUUUUGCAGGUACCGCAUGAAUAAGGACCGGCUAAUUCCGUGCCAGCAGCCGCGGUAAUACGGAAGGUCCGGGCGUUAUCCGGAUUUAUUGGGUUUAAAGGGAGCGUAGGCCGCGUUUUAAGCGUGUUGUGAAAUGUAGACGCCCAACGUCUGCAUCGCAGCGCGAACUGGGACGCUUGAGUACGCGCAACGUUGGCGGAAUUCGUCGUGUAGCGGUGAAAUGCUUAGAUAUGACGAGGAACUCCGAUUGCGAAGGCAGCUGACGGGAGCGGCACUGACGCUUAAGCUCGAAGGUGCGGGUAUCAAACAGG
Molecule: ribosomal RNA, 423 nt
Filed under: Verrucomicrobiota bacterium
Lineage: Bacteria; Pseudomonadati; Verrucomicrobiota
Description: Verrucomicrobia bacterium partial 16S ribosomal RNA
Rfam family: Bacterial small subunit ribosomal RNA
Source: RNAcentral